GGGGUACUGUAAGUGGUAGAGUAGCCUUGUUGCUACGAUCCACUGAGGUUAAGCCCUUGUUCUAAAGAUUUGUUCAACUUUGUUGGACUUUCUCUUUUCUUUUUACAUGCUGAAACCUUGAGGGCCGGGAUAGUAUCCUUUGUGCACUCGCGACAGCAUGUUACUUGCGUUCGAACGGGUAAGCUAACAACGCCUUGGUGUUUUUGUUACCUUUCUCGUUUGAAUCAUGAGUUAUUAUGAGCCUUGAAGGCUUAGAAGGAACUUGGUUAGCAAGCUCUAAACGCGCGCUGACUUGGAACGGUCUUUACCUUGUACUUGAUAUCGACCUUAUGGCCGAUAUCCCGCAUAUGGUAUAGCCAAGAUCCUUGAAAGAGCGAGUUAAUAAGUGAUUUGCUGGAUCGUUAGUGAGCUUGAAUGCCUGCCCUAAGGUUGCCAUGAAUGAAAUGGCCUUAGGAGCUAAGUAAGCUAAGCUACGGUUACCUUUCUAGCCGUUGUAACCGUUUACUUAGCUUCUAGGGCUACGUUCAAACUUUGAACGGCAACUGGUCCUGAAUCGAAAGGUUUGCUAUGUAAACCUUUAGUCAAGACCUGUUUGCAACAAAUUUGGUGGCUGCAGGGCGAGUUUUCAUUGAUUUGGCCUAUAGCGAAAGUUGGU
Molecule: unclassified non-coding RNA, 655 nt
Filed under: Armillaria ostoyae
Lineage: Eukaryota; Fungi; Basidiomycota; Agaricomycetes; Agaricales; Physalacriaceae
Description: partial contains 28S ribosomal RNA and intergenic spacer 1
Rfam family: Eukaryotic large subunit ribosomal RNA (bases 1-73)
Source: RNAcentral